UUCCGUUGUUUUGCUGUGUCCAUAGCAACGGUCAAAAAUGGGGUGGAGUCAAUGCGCAUUGGGUUGUCAACCAGUGACAUCAUUCUAGAACUAUCCACAGCUGUGCUGGAACGACCCUUGACCUCUGUCUGUGACCAUGGAAACGAGAUGAUUGAGAAAUGAUGCAGUUUUUUCUUCAAUCACAACAUCUCUCCACAUCAGGACAUAUGCACAGUCAUUUCUGUGCAUUCAUUCAGAUAAUUGGACAGACUGACAGACAGUGAAACAUGGAGUGCCAUAGUAGGCCACCUGUAGAGCAGAGGGAGCCACUGGCCAAGAAGGGUGAUGGGCACCAGAGAGACUUUAAGAUUGUGAGGGUAGACAAGAGGAGAAAACAUAUCCAGGGGGAUAUGGACAUAGCCAGGAGCAUGAGUGGCCUGGUGAGAGGCCUCAUUGCAGAGCAUGGCUGUGGGGACACCAUCAACCAGCCAGUGGGCCUCAGGAGGAGCAGAGCUGGGGGUCAGGAGGCCUGUCGGGGCCCCGACCCUGCCCGAGUCACCAUCCUGAGGAGGGAGCCCGUGGCCCCUGGGGCCGGGAGGUCUGAGGGGAGGACAGUGGACAGGGCGACAGGGAUUGGCCGUGAGCUGCGUUGCAAGAGCACAGAGGCCUUGGGUGAGCAGUCCACUGUGGUGAUCAAGCUGCCUGGAGGAGGGAGGACAGAGAUACAGGCAAAAAGAGCCAACACCCCAGGCAGGGGUGUAGGGGGGGCUCCACUGAAGCGGAGGGAGGAGUGGACCCCAUACACCUCCCACCCUGCCCUGUCCCAGGCCAUUGGAACCAGUAGGGAGAACCAGGAGGGAGAGGCUCAUCAGCAGAGCUCCAUGAAGGGACAAGACAAGAGAGCCCUGGCGCCUAUGCCUCAAGGUGGGGGACGACAGUGGGGCCCCAGGGGGGUCGACACAGUACGGUGGUACAGCAACUUGCCCCUGCAUGCCGACAGAGGCCCCAUGCCAUUCCGUCGGAAGAAGAGCGUGAGCAUGACGGGCAGCGUGUCGUGGGCUGACGACCAGUACUGGGCAUGCUGGGACGGCUGGGACGAGGUCAUCAUCUGGGGAGACGAGGGGAAGAAGGAGGAGAGGAGGGGGAGGCAGAAGGGUGAGGAGGAAAGGAGGGGGAGGCAGAAGGGUGAAGAGGAGAGGAGGGGGAGGCAGAAGGGUGAGGAGGAGAGGAGGGGGAGGCAGAAGGGUGAGGAGAAGAGGCAGAAGGGUGAGGAAAGGGGGAAGAAGGAGAGGAGGGGGAACAGCGGACAGAUGGAGGGCCAUGGAGAGAAGGACCAGUGGAGGAAGUAGACUCGGACACAGACAGGAAGCCAGGGAUGUGGAGAAGAAGGGAGGACAGCACCUAUACCUCACAGUAUUUAUCACUUGUCCUGCAGUCUGCUACUGAAGUUCCAAGAAAAUCCUUUUCAUACUAGAGUAGAAAAUAAACGGAUGGCUAUCUUUUUGAAAUUCUGUUCUGACGGUUUUGAUAUUUGUUAGGAUUCCAAUGAGACCAAGC
Molecule: long non-coding RNA, 1536 nt
Filed under: Salmo salar (Atlantic salmon)
Lineage: Eukaryota; Metazoa; Chordata; Actinopteri; Salmoniformes; Salmonidae
Description: lncRNA (ENSSSAG00000114105.1)
Source: RNAcentral